GUUCACAUGAUUAAAGGUAUUCCGGUAGACGAUGGGGAAGCGUUCCAUUAGAUAGUAGGCGGGGUAACGGCCCACCUAGUCUUCGAUGGAUAGGGGUUCUGAGAGGAAGGUCCCCCACAUUGGAACUGAGACACGGUCCAAACUCCUACGGGAGGCAGCAGUGAGGAAUAUUGGUCAAUGGGCGAGAGCCUGAACCAGCCAAGUAGCGUGAAGGAUGACUGCCCUAUGGGUUGUAAACUUCUUUUAUAAAGGAAUAAAGUCGGGUAUGGAUACCCGUUUGCAUGUACUUUAUGAAUAAGGAUCGGCUAACUCCGUGCCAGCAGCCGCGGUAAUACGGAGGAUUCGAGCGUUAUCCGGAUUUAUUGGGUUUAAAGGGAGCGUAGAUGGAUGUUUAAGUCAGUUGUGAAAGUUUGCGGCUCAACCGUAAAAUUGCAGUUGAUACUGGAUAUCUUGAGUGCAGUUGAGGCAGGCGGAAUUCGUGGUGUAGCGGUGAAAUGCUUAGAUAUCACGAAGAACUCCGAUUGCGAAGGCAGCCUGCUAAGCUGCAACUGACAUUGAGGCUCGAAAGUGUGGGUAUCAAACAGGAUUAGAUACCCUGGUAGUCCACACGGUAAACGAUGAAUACUCGCUGUUUGCGAUAUACGGCAAGCGGCCAAGCGAAAGCGUUAAGUAUUCCACCUGGGGAGUA
This 688-nucleotide ribosomal RNA is filed under the name uncultured bacterium. Its description in RNAcentral is "bacterial SSU rRNA". It matches the Rfam family "Bacterial small subunit ribosomal RNA", at positions 191 to 882 of the family's 1533-position model. The record is from RNAcentral.